GAUUCUGGCUCAGGAUGAACGCUAGCGGCAGGCUUAACACAUGCAAGUCGAGGGGCAUCGGGAGUAGCAAUACUUGCCGGCGACCGGCGCAAGGGUGCGUAACGCGUGAGCAACAUGCCCGUAUCAGGGGGAUAAUCCAUGGAAACGUGGUCUAAUACCCCAUAGUAAUUAUGUAAGGCAUCUUAUAUAAUUUAAAGCUUUGGUGGAUACGGAUUGGCUCGCGUGACAUUAGCUAGAUGGUAAGGUAACGGCUUACCAUGGCUACGAUGUCUAGGGGUUCUGAGAGGAAGGUCCCCCACACUGGAACUGAGACACGGUCCAGACUCCUACGGGAGGCAGCAGUGAGGAAUAUUGGACAAUGGAUGGAAAUCUGAUCCAGCCAUGCCGCGUGCAGGAAGACGGCCCUAUGGGUUGUAAACUGCUUUUGUAUGGGAGCAAUAAGGGCUACGCGUAGUCCGAUGAGAGUACCAUACGAAUAAGCACCGGCUAACUCCGUGCCAGCCGCCGC
RNAcentral lists this ribosomal RNA (508 nucleotides) under uncultured bacterium. Its description in RNAcentral is "bacterial SSU rRNA". It matches the Rfam family "Bacterial small subunit ribosomal RNA", at positions 15 to 518 of the family's 1533-position model. The record is from RNAcentral.